AUAAAAUGUAGAAGAGAUGGCUUAAAAUUUUAAGAGAGGCUGAGGUUUAUCAGAUCAACCUCUUUUAUACAGCUGAGUGUAAAAGCUGACAUAACUGGAAAAAAAGUUUAAGAUAGAAGUCAAGAUAACUUUCAGUAAGAAGUCUUUGGGUACCUCAGGAAAUAAGUAUUAGGCAACAGCUGAUCAUUUUUUCAGAGCGAUCUGUGUGCUGUCAACAUAUGAUGUCAUCCUUCCGUAGCACUUCACUUUUCCACUACUUGUAGCUAUGGAGGUGGGUCAGUGUGCAUCCUGCAUGGCAUACAGCUCUCUCAAUUUCUUCAUUUUUUGCAGGGCUUGCUUAACUCAUCUCUUAGGCUGUGUAGUUAGUGAGGACACAGGUAUAUAUACCCUCAUUUGAAAUCUGUCCACACAAAGCUAACACUGGUGGUGGUAGCCUGUCUCGGUUUCCCGGCAACAGCUCUGCUUAUGAGGCUUAACAAUGCAGAAGAGAUAGAAAAUGAGAUUCUGGGAGACUGGGAGUGUGGAGCCUUGUGAGACAAGUCUGACACAGGAGUUUGUGGAAAAGAUUUGUGUUGUGCAUGAGAGCUGUGGAAGAAAGACAUCAUUAUGGAGGAAUCCUAAUUGUAAACUGAACCACCUCCACCCCCAAAUUAGCAGUAUAAGGAAUAGCAGACCUCACUAA
RNAcentral lists this long non-coding RNA (682 nucleotides) under Phasianus colchicus (ring-necked pheasant). RNAcentral's name for it is "lncRNA (ENSPCLG00000015153.1)". Lineage: Eukaryota; Metazoa; Chordata; Aves; Galliformes; Phasianidae. The record is from RNAcentral.